GCCCGGGUGGCUCAAUCAGUUAAGCGUCUGACUUCAACUCAGGUCAUGAUCUCAGUUUGUGGGUUUGAACCCCAUUUCGGGCU
RNAcentral lists this transfer RNA (83 nucleotides) under Felis catus (domestic cat). It matches the Rfam family "tRNA". Rfam says of the family: Transfer RNA (tRNA) molecules are approximately 80 nucleotides in length. Their secondary structure includes four short double-helical elements and three loops (D, anti-codon, and T loops). Further hydrogen bonds mediate the characteristic L-shaped molecular structure. tRNAs have two regions of fundamental functional importance: the anti-codon, which is responsible for specific mRNA codon recognition, and the 3' end, to which the tRNAs corresponding amino acid is attached (by aminoacyl-tRNA synthetases). tRNAs cope with the degeneracy of the genetic code in two manners: having more than one tRNA (with a specific anti-codon) for a particular amino acid; and 'wobble' base-pairing, i.e. permitting non-standard base-pairing at the 3rd anti-codon position. Lineage: Eukaryota; Metazoa; Chordata; Mammalia; Carnivora; Felidae. RNAcentral also lists the same sequence under 3 other names. The record is from Rfam by way of RNAcentral.